GAUGAACGCUGGCGGCGUGCUUAACACAUGCAAGUCGAACGGAAAGGCUCCUGCUUGCAGGGGUACUCGAGUGGCGAACGGGUGAGUAACACGUGGGUGAUCUGCCCUUCACUUCGGGAUAAGCCUGGGAAACUGGGUCUAAUACCGGAUAGGACGAUGGUUUGGAUGCCAUUGUGGAAAGUUUUUUCGGUGUGGGAUGAGCUCGCGGCCUAUCAGCUUGUUGGUGGGGUAAUGGCCUACCAAGGCGUCGACGGGUAGCCGGCCUGAGAGGGUGUACGGCCACAUUGGGACUGAGAUACGGCCCAGACUCCUACGGGAGGCAGCAGUGGGGAAUAUUGCACAAUGGGCGGAAGCCUGAUGCAGCGACGCCGCGUGGGGGAUGACGGCCUUCGGGUUGUAAACUCCUUUCGCUAGGGACGAAGCGCAAGUGACGGUACCUGGAGAAGAAGCACCGGCUAACUACGUG
Molecule: ribosomal RNA, 466 nt
Filed under: uncultured bacterium
Lineage: Bacteria
Description: partial 16S ribosomal RNA
Rfam family: Bacterial small subunit ribosomal RNA
Source: RNAcentral